Molecule: ribosomal RNA, 292 nt
Filed under: uncultured prokaryote
Description: partial 16S ribosomal RNA
Rfam family: Bacterial small subunit ribosomal RNA
Source: RNAcentral
GUGCCAGCAGCCGCGGUAAUACGUAGGUGGCAAGCGUUAUCCGGAUUUAUUGGGCGUAAAGGGAGCGCAGGCGGUGACUUAAGUCUGAUGUGAAAGCCCACGGCUUAACCGUGGAGGGUCAUUGGAAACUGGGUCACUUGAGUGCAGAAGAGGAAAGUGGAAUUCCAUGUGUAGCGGUGAAAUGCGUAGAUAUAUGGAGGAACACCAGUGGCGAAGGCGACUUUCUGGUCUGUAACUGACGCUGAGGCUCGAAAGCGUGGGGAGCAAACAGGAUUAGAUACCCCGGUAGUCC